GAUGAACGCUAGCGGGAGGCCUAACACAUGCAAGCCGAGCGGUAUUGUUUCUUCGGCAAUGAGAGAGCGGCGUACGGGUGCGUAACACGUGUGCAACCUGCCUUUAUCUGGGGGAUAGCCUUUCGAAAGGAAGAUUAAUACUCCAUAAUAUAUUGAACGGCAUCGUUUAAUAUUGAAAGCUCCGGCGGAUAGAGAUGGGCACGCGCAAGAUUAGCUAGUUGGUGAGGUAACGGCUCACCAAGGCGAUGAUCUUUAGGGGGCCUGAGAGGGUGAUCCCCCACACUGGUACUGAGACACGGACCAGACUCCUACGGGAGGCAGCAGUGAGGAAGAUUGGUCAAUGGGUGCAAGCCUGAACCAGCCAUCCCGCGUGAAGGACGACUGCCCUAUGGGUUGUAAACUUCUUUUGUAUAGGGAUAAACCUACCCUCGAGAGGGUAGCUGAAGGUACUAUACGAAUAAGCACCGGCUAACUCCGUG
This 479-nucleotide ribosomal RNA is filed under the name uncultured bacterium. RNAcentral's name for it is "partial 16S ribosomal RNA". It matches the Rfam family "Bacterial small subunit ribosomal RNA", at positions 28 to 507 of the family's 1533-position model. The record is from RNAcentral.